This 422-nucleotide ribosomal RNA is filed under the name Salmonella enterica subsp. enterica serovar Oranienburg. Its description in RNAcentral is "partial 23S ribosomal RNA". It matches the Rfam family "Bacterial large subunit ribosomal RNA", at positions 1 to 453 of the family's 2925-position model. Lineage: Bacteria; Pseudomonadati; Pseudomonadota; Gammaproteobacteria; Enterobacterales; Enterobacteriaceae. The record is from RNAcentral. RNAcentral also lists the same sequence under 1 other name.
GGGUUGUGAGGUUAAGCGACUAAGCGUACACGGUGGAUGCCCUGGCAGUCAGAGGCGAUGAAGGACGUGCUAAUCUGCGAUAAGCGCCGGUAAGGUGAUAUGAACCGUUAUAACCGGCGAUUUCCGAAUGGGGAAACCCAGUGUGACUCGUCACACUAUCAUUAACUGAAUCCAUAGGUUAAUGAGGCGAACCGGGGGAACUGAAACAUCUAAGUACCCCGAGGAAAAGAAAUCAACCGAGAUUCCCCCAGUAGCGGCGAGCGAACGGGGAGGAGCCCAGAGCCUGAAUCAGCAUGUGUGUUAGUGGAAGCGUCUGGAAAGGCGCGCGAUACAGGGUGACAGCCCCGUACACAAAAGCGCAUGUGCUGUGAGCUCGAUGAGUAGGGCGGGACACGUGGUAUCCUGUCUGAAUAUGGGGGGAC